GUCGACUUCCUCUUCUCGCUCCUCACCUUGCCGGUCGGCACCAUCGUCAAGCUCCUCACCGUGGACUCCAUGGCCGGCAGCAUGGGAAACCUAUACGGCAGCGUCGACAAGCUCGACGACAGCUACGUCUGCUGUGAUGACGCCAAGAACGUCCUGCUCACGCCCGCCGGUGGUUGGGAUACGGCAACUGCAGGAACUACGCCAGCCAUGGAAACCCCGAUGCAGCCGCUUGUGGAGGAGUCGGAGGGCGGCUCGGAUGGGGGCGGCGUGCCUCGUGCUGCUGGCGCCGGCUUCGUGCAGGGGAUUGUGACCUACACUGUGAUGGACGACCUCAAUGUGUCGCCCAUGUCGUCCAUCUCUGGGAUCACCCUCCUCAACAACUUUGGCGUCACGGACAUCCGCUCGCUCCAGGAGAAGACCGUGCAGCUUGGCUAUGCCGAGGGUUUGGAUAUUCUGAAGGCGCCUCUGCAGUCAAAGACGGUUCUCACUGAUGUCUUCCUUGCGAAGAAGCGGCCCGAAGGGCUGAACUAG
This 531-nucleotide ribosomal RNA is filed under the name Triticum aestivum (bread wheat). RNAcentral describes it as "partial small subunit ribosomal RNA". The record is from RNAcentral. Lineage: Eukaryota; Viridiplantae; Streptophyta; Magnoliopsida; Poales; Poaceae.